AGAGUUUGAUCAUGGCUCAGGAUAAACGCUGGCGGCGUGCCUAACACAUGCAAGUCGAACGCUCUCGGGCAACUGAGGGAGUGGCGGACGGGUGAGUAACACGUGGGUAUCUACCUUGAGGUGAGGAAUACCAGCGAGAAAUCGCUGACAAUACCGCAUACGUUUCUUCACAGAAACAAAGUCGUAAGACGCCCCAAGAUGAGCCUGCGCCCGAUUAGCCAGUUGGUGAGGUAAUGGCUUACCAAAGCGACGAUCGGUAGCUGGUCUGAGAGGACGAUCAGCCACACUGGGAUUGAGAACGGCCCAGACUCCUACGGGGGGCAGCAGUGAGGAAUUUUCGGCAAUGGGGGCAACCCUGACCGAGCAACGCCGCGUGCAGGAAGACGGCCUUCGGGUUGUAAACUGCUUUUCUCUGGGACGAGCAAGGACGGUACCAGAGGAAUCAGCCUCGGCUAACUACGUGCCAGCAGCCGCGGUAAUACGUAGGAGGCGAGCGUUGUCCGGAGUUACUGGGCGUAAAGCGCACGCAGGCGGUCUUGUCAGUCUCAGGUGACAGUCCUCGGCUUAACUGAGGAAGUGUCUGGGAAACUGCAAGACUUGAGGGCUUCAGAGGGACAUGGAAUUCCAGGUGGAGUGGUGAAAUGCGUAGAUAUCUGGAGGAACACCAAAGGCGAAGGCAGUGUCCUGGGGAGCAUCUGACGCUCAGGUGCGAAAGCUAGGGGAGCGAACGGGAUUAGAUACCCCGGUAGUCC
This 752-nucleotide ribosomal RNA is filed under the name uncultured bacterium. Its description in RNAcentral is "bacterial SSU rRNA". It matches the Rfam family "Bacterial small subunit ribosomal RNA", at positions 8 to 796 of the family's 1533-position model. The record is from RNAcentral.